CUCUUCACUGCCCUCACUGCCCGUCUGCCAACAGAAGGCACGCGCAGCUGCAUCUCAGCGCGUGCACGCAUACACCUACACAUCUGCGUGCACUCCUGUUGAUGCGUUCAUCGAGCAAUCAAGUGCACGACGCUCAGAGAGAAAAGUCAAACACGCACUUCAGAUACGUGUUGCCUCUGCUGCUGCAGUACCGCACCCCCGUACAGGCCUGACAUGCUGCGCUUGCCACCUUUUCGCCGCGCCGCCGCUGCAGCACAGGCGUCCUCUAUCUACGAUUUCAAGGUCAACGGCAGCGACCACCAGCCAUACGACCUUGGCCAGCACAAGGGCCAUCCGCUUCUCAUCUACAACGUAGCCAGCAAGUGCGGCUUCACCAAGGGUGGCUACGAGACAGCCACGACGCUAUACAACAAGUACAAGCAUCUCGGCUUCACGGUACUGGCGUUCCCGUGCAACCAGUUCGCCGGUCAGGAACCUGGAACAGAGGAGGAGGUGAAGGAGUUCGCCUGCACGCGUUUCAAGGCUGAGUUCCCCAUUAUGGAGAAGGUCUGUGUCAACGGCGAGCACGAGCACCCGCUGUACCACUACUUGAAGAGCAAGUGCAAGGGUAUCCUCGGCACGACGUUUGUGAAGUGGAACUUCACGGCGUUCCUGGUGGACAAGGACGGCCAUCCCGUGUGCCGCUUCGCGCCCGGUGCGACGGUGUCCGAAAUCGAGAAGAAGUUGCUGCCGCUACUGCAGGCUGCGGCCUCGUCAAAGAUCUGACGGACGUGCAGCACGCGCGUGCGCAGGGGAGCUUGGCAACAGGAAAUUGCUCGAGCAUCUUGCGUACGGGUGAGUGCUCGCUGUGUAUGCACAUGUGUAUGUCGGGUCUUGGUCGCUUCUUUUGUGGGACACUACUCACGCGCUGAGCUCCCACAUGUGACUCCGGUGCUAAGGACUGAUACACACCUCUUGAGGGAGAGCGAGACCUGUCGCCUUCUCCGCGCCCCUCCGCCUCUCCUCCAAUCUCCAGCUCUGCUUCCCCAUGUCUGCUGCUGCGCGUUAACUGGGAGUGGAUUAGAGUGGAGGGGCGAUAGCGGAGACAUAUCGUCGAAAAGCGCAGCACGUCUUCGCAUAUCGCCGCUUUCGUAUCAUCCUUCUUCUGUCGCCCUUCUAUCCCCACGCAGAUACGGAGAAACACGUGGGCGGGUGAGGCGUUCGAUAGGGAGAGGGGCGGUGAGGCGGCCGGGGCCGACGCUCUAGAAACCGCUUAUUUACCUAUACCACCAUUAUGAGAGAAUGCAAGGGACCGAUGCUCGAUGUCGGCUUUGUUAUUCUGCCGCACUCACUCAACAGAAGUCCCCUUCCCUCUUUUUUUUUUCGUUGCGCUUCUCGAUUGGGCCCCCGUACCCGCCCAAG
Molecule: unclassified non-coding RNA, 1401 nt
Filed under: Leishmania donovani
Lineage: Eukaryota; Euglenozoa; Kinetoplastea; Trypanosomatida; Trypanosomatidae
Description: gene:LdHU3.26.1020(CDS-product:type_II_(glutathio ne_peroxidase-like)_tryparedoxin_peroxidase)
Source: RNAcentral